UCAAACUUGGUCAUUUAGAGGAAGUAAAAGUCGUAACAAGGUCUCCGUUGGUGAACCAGCGGAGGGAUCAUUAGCGAGUUAUCUAACUCCCAACCCUUUGUGAACAUACCACUGUUGCCUCGGCGGGAUCUACCCAGUAUCUAUCGAGUAGCCCGCCGGUGGAUUCUAAAUUCUUAUUUAAUAGAAAUCUGAAUGUCUUAUUUUAAUAAGUAAAAACUUUCAACAACGGAUCUCUUGGUUCUGGCAUCGAUGAAGAACGCAGC
Molecule: unclassified non-coding RNA, 263 nt
Filed under: uncultured fungus
Lineage: Eukaryota; Fungi
Description: partial contains small subunit ribosomal RNA, internal transcribed spacer 1, and 5.8S ribosomal RNA
Rfam family: Eukaryotic small subunit ribosomal RNA (bases 1-73)
Source: RNAcentral